RNAcentral lists this ribosomal RNA (711 nucleotides) under Streptomyces sp. T18Y. RNAcentral's name for it is "bacterial SSU rRNA". It matches the Rfam family "Bacterial small subunit ribosomal RNA", at positions 39 to 754 of the family's 1533-position model. Lineage: Bacteria; Bacillati; Actinomycetota; Actinomycetes; Kitasatosporales; Streptomycetaceae. The record is from RNAcentral.
GCGGCGAGCUUACACAUGCAAGUUCGAGCGGUAAGGCCCUUCGGGGUACACGAGCGGCGAACGGGUGAGUAACACGUGAGCAACCUGCCCCUGACUCUGGGAUAAGCGGUGGAAACGCCGUCUAAUACCGGAUACGACCCGCCACCUCAUGGUGGAGGGUGGAAAGUUUUUCGGUCAGGGAUGGGCUCGCGGCCUAUCAGCUUGUUGGUGGGGUAACGGCCUACCAAGGCGAUUACGGGUAGCCGGCCUGAGAGGGCGACCGGCCACACUGGGACUGAGACACGGCCCAGACUCCUGCGGGAGGCAGCAGUGGGGAAUAUUGCGCAAUGGGCGAAAGCCUGACGCAGCGACGCCGCGUGGGGGAUGACGGCCUUCGGGUUGUAAACCUCUUUUACCACCAACGCAGGCUCGAAGUUUUCUUCGGGUUGACGGUAGGUGGGGAAUAAGGACCGGCUAACUACGUGCCAGCAGCCGCGGUAAUACGUAGGGUCCGAGCGUUGUCCGGAAUUAUUGGGCGUAAAGAGCUCGUAGGCGGCGUGUCGCGUCUGCUGUGAAAGACCGGGGCUUAACUCCGGUUCUGCAGUGGAUACGGGCAUGCUAGAGGUAGGUAGGGGAGACUGGAAUUCCUGGUGUAGCGGUGAAAUGCGCACAUAUCAUGAGGAACACCGGUGGCGAAGGCGGGUCUCUGGGCCUUACCUGACGCUGAGGAGC